CAGUCGCCGCGGGAAUACAGAGGGUGCAAGCGUUAAUCGGAUUUACUGGGCGUAAAGGGCGCGUAGGUGGUUAUUUAAGUGAGAUGUGAAAGCCCCGGGCUUAACCUGGGAACUGCAUCUUAUACUGGGUAACUGGAGUGCAGUAGAGGGUAGUGGAAUUUCCGGUGUAGCGGUGAAAUGCGUAGAUAUCGGAAGGAACACCAGUGGCGAAGGCGGCUACCUGGACUGAGACUGACACUGAGGCGCGAGAGCGUGGGGAGCAAACAGGAUUAGAUACCCCCGUAGUCCCUGUCUCUUAUAU
RNAcentral lists this ribosomal RNA (301 nucleotides) under uncultured bacterium. RNAcentral's name for it is "partial 16S ribosomal RNA". It matches the Rfam family "Bacterial small subunit ribosomal RNA", at positions 509 to 809 of the family's 1533-position model. The record is from RNAcentral.